Molecule: ribosomal RNA, 420 nt
Filed under: uncultured bacterium
Lineage: Bacteria
Description: bacterial SSU rRNA
Rfam family: Bacterial small subunit ribosomal RNA
Source: RNAcentral
AAGGAAUAUUGGUCAAUGGGGGGAACCCUGAACCAGCCAUGCCGCGUGCAGGAUGACUGCCCUAUGGGUUGUAAACUGCUUUUGUCGAGGAAUAAACCCAUCUACGUGUAGAUGGCUGAACGUACUCGAAGAAUAAGGAUCGGCUAACUCCGUGCCAGCAGCCGCGGUAAUACGGAGGAUCCGAGCGUUAUCCGGAUUUAUUGGGUUUAAAGGGUGCGUAGGCGGCACUUUAAGUCAGGGGUGAAAUACGGCAGCUCAACUGUCGCAGUGCCUUUGAUACUGAAGUGCUUGAAUGCGGUUGAAGACGGCGGAAUGAGACAAGUAGCGGUGAAAUGCAUAGAUAUGUCUCAGAACACCGAUUGCGAAGGCAGCUGUCUAAGCCGUUAUUGACGCUGAUGCACGAAAGCGUGGGGAUCGAAC